This 909-nucleotide ribosomal RNA is filed under the name Klebsiella pneumoniae. Its description in RNAcentral is "bacterial SSU rRNA". It matches the Rfam family "Bacterial small subunit ribosomal RNA", at positions 611 to 1520 of the family's 1533-position model. The record is from RNAcentral. Lineage: Bacteria; Pseudomonadati; Pseudomonadota; Gammaproteobacteria; Enterobacterales; Enterobacteriaceae.
AACCUGGGAACUGCAUUCGAAACUGGCAGGCUAGAGUCUUGUAGAGGGGGGUAGAAUUCCAGGUGUAGCGGUGAAAUGCGUAGAGAUCUGGAGGAAUACCGGUGGCGAAGGCGGCCCCCUGGACAAAGACUGACGCUCAGGUGCGAAAGCGUGGGGAGCAAACAGGAUUAGAUACCCUGGUAGUCCACGCCGUAAACGAUGUCGAUUUGGAGGUUGUGCCCUUGAGGCGUGGCUUCCGGAGCUAACGCGUUAAAUCGACCGCCUGGGGAGUACGGCCGCAAGGUUAAAACUCAAAUGAAUUGACGGGGGCCCGCACAAGCGGUGGAGCAUGUGGUUUAAUUCGAUGCAACGCGAAGAACCUUACCUGGUCUUGACAUCCACAGAACUUUGCAGAGAUGGUUUGGUGCCUUCGGGAACUGUGAGACAGGUGCUGCAUGGCUGUCGUCAGCUCGUGUUGUGAAAUGUUGGGUUAAGUCCCGCAACGAGCGCAACCCUUAUCCUUUGUUGCCAGCGGUUCGGCCGGGAACUCAAAGGAGACUGCCAGUGAUAAACUGGAGGAAGGUGGGGAUGACGUCAAGUCAUCAUGGCCCUUACGACCAGGGCUACACACGUGCUACAAUGGCAUAUACAAAGAGAAGCGACCUCGCGAGAGCAAGCGGACCUCAUAAAGUAUGUCGUAGUCCGGAUUGGAGUCUGCAACUCGACUCCAUGAAGUCGGAAUCGCUAGUAAUCGUAGAUCAGAAUGCUACGGUGAAUACGUUCCCGGGCCUUGUACACACCGCCCGUCACACCAUGGGAGUGGGUUGCAAAAGAAGUAGGUAGCUUAACCUUCGGGAGGGCGCUUACCACUUUGUGAUUCAUGACUGGGGUGAAGUCGUAACAAGGUAACCGUAGGGGAACCUGCGGUUG